This 63-nucleotide transfer RNA is filed under the name Rattus norvegicus (Norway rat). It matches the Rfam family "tRNA". Rfam says of the family: Transfer RNA (tRNA) molecules are approximately 80 nucleotides in length. Lineage: Eukaryota; Metazoa; Chordata; Mammalia; Rodentia; Muridae. The record is from Rfam by way of RNAcentral.
GGGGAUUUAGCUCAGUGGUAGGGCACUUGCCUAGCAAGCGCAAGGCCCUAGGUUCAGUCCCCA